Molecule: ribosomal RNA, 800 nt
Filed under: uncultured Bacillota bacterium
Lineage: Bacteria; Bacillati; Bacillota
Description: bacterial SSU rRNA
Rfam family: Bacterial small subunit ribosomal RNA
Source: RNAcentral
AAAGUGGAGCAAUCCAUGAGUAAAGUGGCGCACGGGUGAGUAACACGUGACUAACCUACCCUUGAGUGGGGAAUAACCUCGGGAAACCGGGGCUAAUACCGCAUAACACCUUCGGGUCAAAGGAGCAAUUCGCUUAAGGAGGGGGUCGCGGCUGAUUAGCUAGUUGGUGGGGUAAUGGCCUACCAAGGCAAUGAUCAGUAUCCGGCCUGAGAGGGCGCACGGACACACUGGAACUGAAACACGGUCCAGACUCCUACGGGAGGCAGCAGUGGGGAAUUUUGCACAAUGGGGGAAACCCUGAUGCAGCAACGCCGCGUGGAGGAUGAAGUCCCUUGGGAUGUAAACUCCUUUCGACCGGGACGAUAAUGACGGUACCGGUGGAAGAAGCCCCGGCUAACUCUGUGCCAGCAGCCGCGGUAAUACAGAGGGGGCAAGCGUUGUUCGGAAUUAUUGGGCGUAAAGGGUGCGUAGGCGGUGCGGUAAGUCUUCUGUGAAAUCUCCGGGCUCAACUCGGAGCCUGCAGGAGAAACUGCCGUGCUUGAGUAUGGGAGAGGUGAGUGGAAUUCCUGGUGUAGCGGUGAAAUGCGUAGAUAUCAGGAGGAACACCUGUGGCGAAAGCGGCUCACUGGACCAUAACUGACGCUGAGGCACGAAAGCUAGGGGAGCAAACAGGAUUAGAUACCCUGGUAGUCCUAGCCCUAAACGAUGAUUGCUUGGUGUAGCAGGUACCCAAUCCUGCUGUGCCGCAGCUAACGCGUUAAGCAAUCCGCCUGGGGAGUACGGUCGCAAGGCUGAAACUC